UAGGGAAUCUUCGGCAAUGGACGAAAGUCUGACCGAGCAACGCCGCGUGAGUGAAGAAGGUUUGCGGAUCGUAAAACUCUGUUGUUAGAGAAGAACAAGGACGUUAGUAACUGAACGUCCCCUGACGGUAUCUAACCAGAAAGCCACGGCUAACUACGUGCCAGCAGCCGCGGUAAUACGUAGGUGGCAAGCGUUGUCCGGAUUUAUUGGGCGUAAAGCGAGCGCAGGCGGUUUCUUAAGUCUGAUGUGAAAGCCCCCGGCUCAACCGGGGAGGGUCAUUGGAAACUGGGAGACUUGAGUGCAGAAGAGGAGAGUGGAAUUCCAUGUGUAGCGGUGAAAUGCGUAGAUAUAUGGAGGAACACCAGUGGCGAAGGCGGCUCUCUGGUCUGUAACUGACGCUGAGGCUCGAAAGCGUGGGGAGCAAACAGG
Molecule: ribosomal RNA, 429 nt
Filed under: Gemmatimonadota bacterium
Lineage: Bacteria; Pseudomonadati; Gemmatimonadota
Description: Gemmatimonadetes bacterium partial 16S ribosomal RNA
Rfam family: Bacterial small subunit ribosomal RNA
Source: RNAcentral